This 468-nucleotide ribosomal RNA is filed under the name uncultured bacterium. Its description in RNAcentral is "partial 16S ribosomal RNA". It matches the Rfam family "Bacterial small subunit ribosomal RNA", at positions 28 to 507 of the family's 1533-position model. The record is from RNAcentral.
GACGAACGCUGGCGGCGUGCUUAACACAUGCAAGUCGAACGGAAAGGCCCUGCUUUUGUGGGGUGCUCGAGUGGCGAACGGGUGAGUAACACGUGAGUAACCUGCCCUUGACUUUGGGAUAACUUCAGGAAACUGGGGCUAAUACCGGAUAGGAGCUCCUGCUGCAUGGUGGGGGUUGGAAAGUUUCGGCGGUCGGGGAUGGACUCGCGGCUUAUCAGCUUGUUGGUGGGGUAGUGGCUUACCAAGGCUUUGACGGGUAGCCGGCCUGAGAGGGUGACCGGGCACAUUGGGACUGAGAUACGGCCCAGACUCCUACGGGAGGCAGCAGUGGGGAAUAUGGCACAAUGGGCGGGAGCCUGAUGCAGCAGCGCCGCGUGCGGGAUGACGGCCUUCGGGUAGUAAACCGCUUUCGCCUGUGACGAAGCGUGAGUGACGGUAAUGGGUAAAGAAGCACCGGCUAACUACGUG